CCACCACCAUGAAGUAUCCACUUGCAAAAGUGAGGUUUGCAGAGCAAAAGGCUAAAUCUUGCGUGGGGAUGAAAGGUUCCCCGGUCUGUGUAUGGAAGUAUGAAAAUGCUCCCUCCAGACAAAUGUCGCCACUACAUCAGUCUGACUCGAGACCCUGUGGACUGUAGCCUACCAAGCUCCUCUGUCCAUGGGAUGUCCCAGGCAAGAAUACUGGAGUGGGUUGCCAUUUCUUCUUCAGGGGAUCUUCCUGACCCAGGGAUCAAACUCACGUCUCCUGCCUUGGCAGAUUCCAAAACACAGGUGGAAAAGUUAACUACACGAUGGCCAGGCUAUACCAAGAACAUGAGCUGUCACAAUUCUGAGAACUGGCCACAAAGAAAUGGGAACAAAU
Long non-coding RNA from Cervus elaphus (red deer), 391 nucleotides. RefSeq lists it as uncharacterized. The transcript has 3 exons. NCBI's taxonomy places the organism in Eukaryota, Metazoa, Chordata, Mammalia, Artiodactyla, Cervidae. The record is from RefSeq and is a predicted model, not a curated record.